GGGCUACCCGCUGAAUUUAAGCAUAUCAAUAAGCGGAGGA
RNAcentral lists this ribosomal RNA (40 nucleotides) under Urtica thunbergiana. Its description in RNAcentral is "partial 28S rRNA". The record is from RNAcentral. Lineage: Eukaryota; Viridiplantae; Streptophyta; Magnoliopsida; Rosales; Urticaceae.